Molecule: RNA transcript, 1466 nt
Organism: Arachis stenosperma
Lineage: Eukaryota; Viridiplantae; Streptophyta; Magnoliopsida; Fabales; Fabaceae
Gene name: nudix hydrolase 14, chloroplastic-like
Exons: 6
Source: RefSeq, a predicted model, not a curated record
UUCACCUUCGAAACUACUCGCCUGUAUCGGAGCUCCUCCCUUCGCCCUUCGCCCUUCGCCUUCGCCUUCAUCACUGAUGGAAACCACUUCUUCUUCAUCUUGUUAAUCUUCGUACCCUUCUUCUCUUUCUUGUUCUUCUUCGAAUCAUUGUGGAUCUCUCUGUUCACCUUCAAGCUCCAGCAAACAUGGUCGACGGCAAGCUCCUCCCUCUUCUUCUCCUCCAAGCCCUCUCAGCCGCGCUUCCGCCGCCGUUGGUUGCCGUUAACGUUCGCGUCUUCGUUCAGCCGUCGUCUUCGUUCGCGUUCUUCGCCGUUCAAGUUUGCUCGGCGUUCACCGUUCGCGUUCACUCGCCGUUCACCGUUCGGGUUCGCGUUCGUCUGGAAGCCACGUUGCCCUGCUUCAAACUCUGCGACCAACCCGUGCGCUCCACCUAGCCGUCGAACUGCUCUCUUUUGUCGCCGCCCAUGGCACUCUCGGGGCACUUGUCCAAGAUUCUGUUAAGAGCCACUACUAGACCCUGUUUUACUGUGCAUGCACCCGCCCUCCGCCACUGCCGCUACCCCAGCGCUACCACUAGGCCGCCACCGUGUUGCUCCGGCCAUUCACCCAUCAUCAUCAAUCUUUCCCUUCCCUUCCCCUGUUCCAAUUCCCUGCUUCCCAGGGUGAGAUAUGUGUUGAAAGUUCAUAGUGUGUUUGUUCAGGAAGGGAAUGUGCUGAAUAAUUAUAUUAAAAGAUGGAUUUAGGCAUUCUUUUCUUCCUCUUUCACACCCUGCAGGUUUUGACAGCUACUAAAAUUAGAUAUUGGAGGUUUUGUUCAAUUAGAUGCUAGGUUUUGACAAGUCCCCAUGAGAUGUAAUGGCAAAAGAGAAUUGAUAGGCACACAAUUUCUUCUUGUUAUCAUGCUAUAUAAAAAACAUGUCUCAGUUGUGGUGGUUUGGUUUGGUUUUUGUUGUUUUCCAUUGCAGGAAUGCUAUUGAUUCCUCUUUAUUCAAGCAAUGGUUGCAUAACUUGCAAAGUGAGAUUGGGAUUCUAGCUGAUGGCACCUUGGCUCUGAGACAAGUUCUAAUUCAGUAAACCGUGAUUAGGUUCCAGGUAUUGUAUUUGCAAGAGGACCUGCUGUGACUAUGUUGAUACUUCUGGAAUCAGAUGGUGAAACUUAUGCUGUCCUUACUGAACAGGCAAGGGUUCCUACUGGAAGAAUUAUUUUGGAAUUGCCUGCUGGAAUGACAGCACCUGAGGAAUUAGCAAAAGGUCCGUCUAAUUGCUAGUAUUGGAAUGGAUAACUUGAACGCUUAAUGCACAAAGUGGAGCAGUUUUAGGUUGAUUUUGAUCUUUUACCAAGUAUUUAGGUUGAUGAUCAUCUCUAUUAGUGUAAUUUGAUAUAUUAUGAGCAGUUCUAACUUGUAUUGUUUCUGUAUUUUUCUUCGAUUUUUAGUUUUGGAAUUUGAACUGAGAUUUAUUUUGUA